GCCAUUGGUUCCUUACUAAUCAAACCGCGGCAAAGAAAUAAACGUCCAACAUGAUUGUUUUUUUUUUUGAAGAGAGAAGUUCAAUUCAGUUCAGUUCAGUUCAGUUCAAUUCAAUUCAGUUCGCUUUAAAUUGUAUAGCGCUUUUAUACAAGUGAGAUUGUCACAAAACAGAUUUACAGAAAUAUAUAAACUUCCAAUCUAAAUUUUAAAUUCAAUUUUAAAUUCAUCCCUAAUGAGCAGGCCAGAGGUGACGGUGGCAAGAAAAAAACCUCCCUGAGAUAUGAGGAAGAAACCUAGAGAGGAACCAGACUCAAAUGGGACCCAUCCUCAUCUGUGUAACAACAUCUUGAUGGAGAAAUUUGGGUGUCACAGCAGCAGCAAGACAGGCUGAUGAGAUGAUGAGGAGCAGAUGCGUUUGCUGAUUCAAACAGGAGGGGGAGCAGAGUGGAGUGCCAUGCCCAGGGAGACACACAAACACACUCAAACAGGAGGAGAGGGAGAGACAAACACGGGUAACACAAGGAAGGGGGAAAAUAGAUAAACACAAG
This is a long non-coding RNA of Ictalurus punctatus (channel catfish), 548 nucleotides long. NCBI's taxonomy places the organism in Eukaryota, Metazoa, Chordata, Actinopteri, Siluriformes, Ictaluridae. The record is from Ensembl.